Lathyrus oleraceus (garden pea) is the source of this 1077-nucleotide long non-coding RNA. RefSeq lists it as uncharacterized. The record is from RefSeq and is a predicted model, not a curated record. NCBI's taxonomy places the organism in Eukaryota, Viridiplantae, Streptophyta, Magnoliopsida, Fabales, Fabaceae. The transcript has 3 exons.
CAUUGAAAUGGAGGUAAGACGGAAACUCCCAGGGUCAAAAUCCCUAAUCGCGGUAUUUGUUCCUCAAACACGCCGUCGUCGACGACGCAACCGGAACCCGGAUCACACGAAGCUCAACAACUGCGAGCAAACAAACUUCCCCAAUCUAUGGUGCAACGGCCGCGACUCUCAACCGAGUUCGACCAUCACUCGCAAUCGCGAAUUCAAGCGCUUCGUCUUCUGCACGUGUGUACCAGUGUUGGCUUUGCAAGAGCAUUCUAGGGGUAUGCUCAGAGUCACGUUCCGAAAUUCGAGAUGAAGAUGAAAGUGACUCAAUCGUUCACUCUUCAUCUCUGCUUCACCUGGCCUGCACGAAUUCAAGAUGAAGACGAGAGGAGUGAGAACUCACCGUAUCAAUGUCGGCAAUACGCUCUUCGUGGAUUACUUUGUCAUCUUCUCCUUCCGUAAUCUUCCCUCCUCCUGCAAACGAAUUCUGACACGGUUUCAACGUCGUCAACUACUUUACCGAUAACACUUCUUCAUCUCUCUGUUCCCUUUCCCUCUUAUCUUACUUUAAUCUCUGCUUCUUCUUUGCAUAUGCUCAUGGUUAUUGUGAAUUGCAGCAUGAAAAGUUGGCGGCAGAGUGAUGACAGAAGAUUAGAGACUCUUGGUAUGAAGAAGAUUCCCGCCGUAGAAGAAGAAGAUUGGAGUGAAGAACAAUGGAGAUUGGAAUGAAAGGGAAGAAACGGUUGUGAAUUCCAUUUCAUAGUGAAGUCUGCCCCGUGAAAAAUAAGUUCUGCAGGUUGAUGCAGUUGGGAAUCCGGCCGCCAAGCAUAUCCUGCAGCAUACUGUCAUGCUGGUGUAUUGCAACAGCUAUUUCCUUGCUGGCUUGCGUCGAGUGCAUGAAGUUACACGCUUAUUCAAUUGGAGAAUUCAAACUCAAAUCGGUUAGCAGUUGAGGUUUGUGAGCUGGUUCAAUUAACUUCAGUAUGCACCGUUUCUUUUGGUUCAGUUUUGUGGAGUGUUGCUCAGAAGGGAAUGAAAUGGUAUUGCUUGUGUCAAUUUUCCUGCCAAGUACUGCUUCUGCUAUCUACCAUG